This 116-nucleotide ribosomal RNA is filed under the name Propionibacterium sp. 5_U_42AFAA. Lineage: Bacteria; Bacillati; Actinomycetota; Actinomycetes; Propionibacteriales; Propionibacteriaceae. The record is from RNAcentral.
CGGUGGCCAUAGUGGAAGGGAAACACCGGUCCCAUUCCGAACCCGGUCGUUAAGCCUUCCAACGCUGAUGGUACUGCACGAGGGAUCGUGUGGGAGAGUAAGACGCUGCCGGAAUA